This 2283-nucleotide long non-coding RNA is filed under the name Malus domestica (apple). RNAcentral describes it as "long non-coding RNA (MDOM_LNC002811)". The record is from RNAcentral. Lineage: Eukaryota; Viridiplantae; Streptophyta; Magnoliopsida; Rosales; Rosaceae.
UCACACAAGUAUUCAACAAGUCUCUUACAUUAAUAAAAUGCAAAAUGAAAAUUAUCAAUUUUUUGUCUAAGUGAGAGUUACGAGUUGGCAAUGCCUAGGCGUGUCUUGGUGGUAUAGGUAGGCCCUAGGCCAGCUAGGCGGACGCCCAAGCAGGUCUAGACAUCCUUUCUUAAUUUUAAAAUGCCUAGGGAUUAAUCGGGUCGGUAACCAGCAACCUAGUGCCUAGGCAAGAAUUUUUAGAAAGUGGAAGUUGCUAAUCUAAGGUUUCUAAUGGUGUGGUGGUUUUGCAUGAGCUAAGGAAGUUUAUUAGAAGCCUCAGGAUUGAAAGAACGCUUAUCCCUAAAGAACUAGGGUUUCGUGCACUUAAAGAAAGCUUGUCGUUCGUCUUCCCCUCACGUGGUUAUCUUAAGUGAGGACUCUACUCUAUUUUAGCUUAAUUUUCAAGGUUAAUUGAUUAAGUAUGUCCAAGUUCUUUUUAUGUUUGGGUAUUUUAGUUACGUAUGAAAUUUUAUUUCUUGACAAAUGACAUUAGUUCAAUGAUUGGAAAGUACCAUUCACCCUUUAGAUGCAUCGUUAAUGAUCUUCUCCAAAAAAAAAGAAGAAAACAAAUAAGACUAAUUGAUCAUCAAAAUAGAACAAAUAAGUAAAAUUUUAUGAUUGGAAUGCAGGCCGUAUUAUGGUAGUAUUGACCUUAAAAAUUACAAAGCCUAUGUGGCGCGUAGGUUGAGUAAUUAUGAGUUAACUAAGUCUUUCUUAUGAAUGUUGGCGUGCCAACUUGCAACUGUGCUCAUUAGGGUUAGUAGAAUAAAUAUGGUGGUGGUGUCGAAUGCCUUAAUGACUUCUGCACUUAAGCGACUACGGCAGAUUAAAGGAACACCUUUCAGCCUAGGGUUCUAGUACUUAAAGACAGGGUUGCCUAGUUCAUUGCGAAGUUCAAGAUCUUCGGCAUCAGGUUCGGGUACCUCAACUAUAUUCGUGAGAAUAUAAGUGCGCCGAAUCAGUAUCAGGUUGUAGGGACAUAUGUACUCAAAGUAGAUGAGCAUUUUUAUGGUGAACGUGGUUCAGCAAUCUAAAUGCUGAACUACAAAAUGCACCUAAGAGUAACCAAUCAUAUAAUAUUUUACUUUGCUGGAAAGCUAAUGAAGUGACCUCUAUGGGCGAAAGAAUUAAGAAUUCUUCGCCAGUUAAGACUUGGAUUGAUAACUAACUAACCAGAAGCAGUGAUGUUAAUCUAAACUGAAGAUGCCUAUAAAUUUCUUAAUUCUACGACUCUAGUGUUGUUAAUCCAAACUAAAGUUGUCGCCAGUUGCAACACAGUACUGUUAAUCCAAACUAAAGGUGUGUUGACGAUAGGGUUAGGGCAUUUAGUAUUUUUCUCAAGGGUGUUAGAAGGGUUUUGCUUAGGGAUAGGGUUUUGGCAUAAAGUGUUUGAGUUGUUUGUGAGUUGAAGAAAGGCUUUUCACGUCAUAGAACCUCUUCUACUAUAGGGAUAGCCUUCAUGAUAAACAAGUCUGCCGAGGUAGAGUUUUGAUGGGACUGUAUUUGCUUGGCAUGUACUUGAAUAUUCCCUUUAUCUCUUUGAUUCCCUUCUUAGCCAAGCCUUCAUCUUCAUCCAGUCUCGGUUUCUUUGUUACAACCUAGGAUUCUGAACUUGACCCCAUUGUGGGAUUAAUUCAUUCUUAUCUGAUAAAAAAUGAAUUCUAAUCCAUGGGAUAAGUUGCAUUUUAAUCAGGGCUUUAUUAUCAUCCUUGGCAAUUUCAAAUUGCCUAAGACUCAACUGAGCCACAUCUGAUCUAAUCCUCACACAAUCCUAUUUUCAUAAAGAUUCGGUCAAAUCAACCCUUUCUUGGGCUAAAACCCAGCGGCCUGAGGGAUUUUUACUAGGCCCAUGAUUGUGGCUUUCUAAUUUAGGUUAGUCCAUUCUCGGUCCAAACAGUUAUUCCAGACCUAAAUAGAUAGAAUAAGUGAUCUAUAUAUUAAAUUCCGAAAUUCGUUAUAUUUUCAAUCUCGUAGAACCAAGAGAAAAAAAAAGAAGGAACUUGAACUUAAUUGGCUUUGGCGCGCAGGAUGAGAUGGACGAUCUGAGUUCAUAUAUUCUGGCAAUUGAUAGGGCUGGCUGGGUGUGGUGAAAGUGAUCCAAACCCAAAGCUCUCAGUGAAAAGUGAAGCUUGUGAUAUUCAGGAACUGGCUGAUCAAUUACAGCUUGGGCCCAACUCAUGCAAUUUGGAGUUGUAUCAAAAGCGUUGCGUACCCCACAGGCAGGCUACUCACUCCUUUUUUAAC